This 252-nucleotide ribosomal RNA is filed under the name uncultured bacterium. RNAcentral's name for it is "partial 16S ribosomal RNA". It matches the Rfam family "Bacterial small subunit ribosomal RNA", at positions 335 to 604 of the family's 1533-position model. The record is from RNAcentral.
UCUCCUACGGGGGGCAGCAGUGGGGAAUAUUGGACAAUGGGGGAAACCCUGAUCCAGCGACGCCGCGUGAGUGAAGAAGUAUUUCGGUAUGUAAAGCUCUAUCAGCAGGGAAGAAAAUGACGGUACCUGACUAAGAAGCCCCGGCUAACUACGUGCCAGCAGCCGCGGUAAUACGUAGGGGGCAAGCGUUAUCCGGAUUUACUGGGUGUAAAGGGAGCGUAGACGGAGGAGCAAGUCUGAUGUGAAAAUCCG